UACGUAGGGGGCAAGCGUUGUCCGGAUUUAUUGGGCGUAAAGAGCGUGUAGGCGGCCAGGUAGGUCCGCUGUGAAAACUCGAGGCUCAACCUCGAGAUGUCGGCGGAAACCAUCUGGCUAGAGUCCGGAAGAGGAGAGUGGAAUUCCUGGUGUAGCGGUGAAAUGCGUAGAUAUUGGGAGGAACACCAGUGGCGAAGGCGGCUCACUGGACCGGUUCUGACGCUGAGGCGCGAAAGCGUGGGGAGCAAACGGG
This 253-nucleotide ribosomal RNA is filed under the name uncultured bacterium. RNAcentral describes it as "partial 16S ribosomal RNA". It matches the Rfam family "Bacterial small subunit ribosomal RNA", at positions 524 to 776 of the family's 1533-position model. The record is from RNAcentral.